GCUUACGGCCAUACCAACCUGGCUAUGCCCGAUCUCGUCUGAUCUCGGAAGCUAAGCAGGUUUGGGCCUGGUUAGUACUUGGAUGGAGACGCCUGGGAAUACCAGGUGCUGUAAGCU
Molecule: ribosomal RNA, 117 nt
Filed under: Carassius auratus (goldfish)
Lineage: Eukaryota; Metazoa; Chordata; Actinopteri; Cypriniformes; Cyprinidae
Source: RNAcentral